Abrus precatorius (Indian licorice) is the source of this 3233-nucleotide RNA transcript. It is a transcript of the gene named GTP-binding protein OBGC, chloroplastic, with no coding region annotated. The record is from RefSeq and is a predicted model, not a curated record. The transcript is spliced from 8 exons. NCBI's taxonomy places the organism in Eukaryota, Viridiplantae, Streptophyta, Magnoliopsida, Fabales, Fabaceae.
AUUGGGUAAUGAACACGUGUUGCCUUAUCCCAUUUUGAUAUUUUUUGUUGGGAUAUGAUGUUGGGUUUCAUUCUCCGCUGCGGCGAAAAUGGCUUCCUCAGUGUCAGUGUGGUUCUCUCCCAACGCGCUCGCUCGCCCCAACACACGCAAUCGCAAUCGGAAUAAAAUCUCUAACCCUAAAUUCAAGAACCCCGUUCUCUCCGGCGGCGAAGCCACCACCUACACUCGUCUCCCGCUCAAGCACGAUUAUUCAUCUCCCUCUCCUCUUUCCUCUUCCGAAAUCAAGCUCUCCGAUUCAGCCCCACCCAUUAAACACGAACAGCAGCAACAACAACUUGUUUUCGACGACAAUGCGGGAUCUGAAAGCGACGCCGAAUACGAAACCUUUGAAUCUUCGGACUUCGAUGAAGAAGAAGAGUCUUUGAAUUCUCCGAACACCGAGGGGGAGGUGAAGGAGAAGGGGGUGCCGGCGGUGAUGCGGUGUUUCGACCGUGCGAAGAUAUACGUGAAGACCGGCGACGGGGGGAACGGCGUGGUGGCUUUCCGGCGGGAGAAGUACGUGCCGUUGGGGGGGCCGUCGGGGGGCGACGGAGGGAGAGGUGGUGACGUGUAUGUUGAAGUUGAUGGGUCAAUGAACUCGCUUUUGCCGUUUCGGAAUAGCGUGCAUUUCCGGGCAGAGAGGGGGUCACACGGGCAGGGGAGUUUGCAGAGUGGGGCAAAGGGAGAAGAUGUGGUGGUGAAGGUGCCUCCUGGAACAAUCAUUCGUGAGGCUUCUCAGGACAAUGUGCUAUUGGAGAUGGUGUUUCCUGGACAGAGAGCAUUGCUUUUGCCCGGUGGUCGAGGUGGCAGAGGGAAUGCUUCCUUCAAGUCUGGGACUAAUAAGGUUCCAAAGAUUGCUGAGAAUGGCGAACAGGGUCCUGAAAUGUGGUUGGAGUUGGAGCUCAAGCUGGUUGCGGAUGUUGGUAUUGUUGGGGCUCCGAAUGCGGGGAAAAGUACGCUUUUGAGUGUCGUUAGUGCUGCGAAGCCAGCGGUGGCUAAUUAUCCCUUUACGACACUGCUUCCCAAUCUCGGUGUUGUUUCCUUUGACUAUGAUUCAACCAUGGUGGUGGCAGACCUUCCAGGUCUACUUGAAGGGGCACACCGGGGUUUUGGUUUAGGUCAUGAGUUUCUACGGCACACUGAAAGAUGUUCUGCCCUGGUACAUGUUGUUGAUGGUUCAUCACUACAGCCGGAUCUUGAGUUUGAUGCAGUUCGUCUAGAGCUCAAGCUGUUUAAUCCUGAACUUUCUGAGAAGCCUUAUAUAGUUGCUUAUAACAAAAUGGAUCUUCCAGAAGCAUAUGAAAAUUGGGAAUCCUUCAAAGAAAAGUUGCAAUCUCGUGGGAUCACACCCUUUUGUAUGAGUGCUGUCAAAAAGGAAGGUACUCAUGAAGUUAUCUGUGCUGCUUACGAGCUGUUGCGUAAAAGUAAAGAAGACAGGGAGGAAUUUGAAGUUGGAAGAGAUAUGGUAAACUUGAACCAUGUAGCUGAUGCAGUACAGAAGCAACGGAAUGCAUCCAUUAGUGAUUUUGAGAUUUUUCAUGACAGCAAUUCAAAUAUCUGGCAUGUUGUUGGGUCUGGAUUGCAACGAUUUAUACAGAUGACAAAUUGGCGGUACAUUGAUUCAGAGAUAAGAUUCCAACAUGUUCUUGAAGCUUGUGGUGUGUAUAAGUCUCUCAUGAAACUUGGUGUAAAGGAAGGGGACACAGUAAUUGUUGGAGAGAUGAAGAUGGUAUGGCACGAUUCCUAUGACAAUGCUGGUGCAUCUAGGAUGAAGAAAAUGUCCACAGAUUCAAUUAAAUGGCCUGAAUGGAAGUAAUGCCUCUCAGUUUCAGUGUCAUGCAUACUGCAACUGUGCAUAGGAAGCAAAUUCAAUCAUAAUGAGGUGUUAUAGAAGAGGAUAGAAGUCAUGAGAAGCUGCCUCAAAAAGAACAAGGUAUUGCAUGCGAUUACAUGAUUGUCCUGUGAUGGCAUGAUGCUGGGUGCAUUUAUAAUUUCAAAUUCUUCUAUGUGAAUAGAAGCGGUGUCUUCUUCAACAGCUCAUGGCUGAGUUAGACCGCUCUCAUGUGGAUUGGAUAAUUUGAUGGAAUUGAAGUGAAGCUCAAAUCUCAAGUUUCACGGGAUGUCAUCAUAAAAGCGACUGGGUUGAGAUUGUUAUAUUUUUUCUAUAAUGUAUUUGUAGCUCGUUUUACUUGUUAAUUAUAACUAUAAUAUGCUUGAGAUAUGAUCCUUACAUUAUAGAGAAGAAAGAUGUUAAUAAUUGUAGGUGAAAAAUAGACCGGGAUCCUCUCAUGUUAUUUUAUGUUAUUUUUCGCUUAAACGAAAAUACAAAAAUACGGAACAUGACCCUCAUACAUGAGGGAAUUUUUUCCGUGAAAAAUCUGUGAACCACAGUAGACAUCCUGUUUUUUGGGGUGUGAUAGGCUCCUUUUUCUUUCUGCAAUGCACAAGUGUGCUAAACAAUCCCCUUUCCGACACGUAAUUAUCAAUGUCUAUAGGUCACAUCAUAAGCUUAUAGGGCUAGCCCAUCGCAUGGUUCAUGUUUAUCAUUUGUCAGAAACCUAUGUGUAAUGACUUUGAAGUGGUUCUAUUUUUACCCCUAAUCUAUGUUCACUUUAUAGAUGCAAUUACCUUAGUAUCUUAACGUUCCCUGAGAUAGUAGUGUUUUAAUUUUUACAUUUGUUGUUGAUUCACAAUGUUUUGACUUUCCUGACUAGUGUGGUUUGUAAAUCUGAAGAGCUACUGUUGAAGCUGAACUAUAUUUUUGUGUUACCAGAAUUUCCAAACAGGAUACUUGAAUCACGGUAAAAUUGGUACCAAAACUAAGAUGAUGAUCUUCCCGGGAUUGAGUUUGCAAUGGAAUGAUAGCUGAGAAGGACCAGUUUCUCAGUCCUCCCCUGUCUUCAGCAUGCCCGUGCAAUCUUAUUCGAUUUGGCAAAGUAAUAAUAAUGGAAAUGACAAGUAGACGUACAAAAAAUCUUACAUUCCUCAUAUAUGUUAAUUUGGAAAAGUCACCAUCAAACGAGAGGUAAAAUUGGACGAUUUAUGAAAGGUGGUAAAAAAGAGUGUCAUAUGUGCCUCAACUUCGUAGAUUAUCUAAGUUGCUUAUGUGAUAUUGUUUUAAUAUCUACUUAUGUGACUCAUAAAAAAAGCAAGUUAAAUUUUUUUUUUGUGAGAAUAAGAAUUUCUUUAUUUUU